Molecule: ribosomal RNA, 683 nt
Filed under: Escherichia coli
Lineage: Bacteria; Pseudomonadati; Pseudomonadota; Gammaproteobacteria; Enterobacterales; Enterobacteriaceae
Description: partial 23S ribosomal RNA
Rfam family: Bacterial large subunit ribosomal RNA
Source: RNAcentral
GGGUUGUGAGGUUAAGCGACUAAGCGUACACGGUGGAUGCCCUGGCAGUCAGAGGCGAUGAAGGACGUGCUAAUCUGCGAUAAGCGUCGGUAAGGUGAUAUGAACCGUUAUAACCGGCGAUUUCCGAAUGGGGAAACCCAGUGUGUUUCGACACACUAUCAUUAACUGAAUCCAUAGGUUAAUGAGGCGAACCGGGGGAACUGAAACAUCUAAGUACCCCGAGGAAAAGAAAUCAACCGAGAUUCCCCCAGUAGCGGCGAGCGAACGGGGAGCAGCCCAGAGCCUGAAUCAGUGUGUGUGUUAGUGGAAGCGUCUGGAAAGGCGCGCGAUACAGGGUGACAGCCCCGUACACAAAAAUGCACAUGCUGUGAGCUCGAUGAGUAGGGCGGGACACGUGGUAUCCUGUCUGAAUAUGGGGGGACCAUCCUCCAAGGCUAAAUACUCCUGACUGACCGAUAGUGAACCAGUACCGUGAGGGAAAGGCGAAAAGAACCCCGGCGAGGGGAGUGAAAAAGAACCUGAAACCGUGUACGUACAAGCAGUGGGAGCACGCUUAGGCGUGUGACUGCGUACCUUUUGUAUAAUGGGUCAGCGACUUAUAUUCUGUAGCAAGGUUAACCGAAUAGGGGAGCCGAAGGGAAACCGAGUCUUAACUGGGCGUUAAGUUGCAGGGUAUAGACCCG